This is a long non-coding RNA of Entelurus aequoreus (snake pipefish), 854 nucleotides long. RefSeq lists it as uncharacterized. The record is from RefSeq and is a predicted model, not a curated record. NCBI's taxonomy places the organism in Eukaryota, Metazoa, Chordata, Actinopteri, Syngnathiformes, Syngnathidae. The transcript is spliced from 4 exons.
CAAGCAGAGAAGCUCUUCUGAAACACGCAUGCACGCACACACAGCUAUACUAGUGCCAGAACAUUCAUCAGUCAACCUCCAGCCCCAGGCCUGUAGGCCUCGAGCCAGGCACUCGAGUAGUAGCCAGGCUGUCAUUCUGCUGGGCCACAGGCCAAACUUCCAUCAGCUUUGAUGUGAGUUGGAUACCAAAAUGGCAGUAGAGGGAGGCCCCUCAGUGCAGGAGUACCAGAGCACCAGGGAGCUACCAUUGAGCAGCCUUGACCAGCAUGUGACUGGUUUCGGUUCGCCGUGAGUGACUGCUUGCUGACUGCUCGCUGUUGCUGUUGCGAAAAAGCUAGCUAGCUGCUAAGCUAACGAAGCUAGCGCGGAGAAGGCGGCGCCGGUCUGAAGGAAUCUGCCCCCGCAUAUCGCGACCACUUCCCUGAAGACAGCAGGAACUUCACUGGGUGACAGAAAAUACCUCUACACAGGUCCGGUGGCCAUGGAUGAAGUGCUGGCUGUCCAGAGUCGGGACCCGGGGUGGACCGCUCGCCUGUGCAUCGGUUGGGGACAUCUCUGUGCUGCUGACGCUGCCGCUCGAGAUGGUCUCCUGCUGGCCCCACUAUGGACUGGACUCUCACUAUUAUGUUAGAUCCACUAUGGACUGGACUUUCACAAUAUUAUGCUAGACUCACUCGACGUCCACUGCAUUCCGUUUCCCGUAGAGGGGUGGGGGGGUUUGUCACCCACAUCUGCGGUCCUCUCCAAGGUUUCUCAUAUUCAUUCACAUUGACAUCCCACUGGGUUGUGAGUCUUUCCUUGCCCUUAUGUUAGAUCUGAACCGAGGAUGUCGUUGUGGCUUGUGCAACCCUUUG